Molecule: long non-coding RNA, 735 nt
Organism: Dreissena polymorpha
Lineage: Eukaryota; Metazoa; Mollusca; Bivalvia; Myida; Dreissenidae
Exons: 2
Source: RefSeq, a predicted model, not a curated record
CCGAAGGAAAAAACUGGUUAUUAGAUUGGCGAAUGCGGGCUGGCGGAAUAAGCUUGUCCGGGCCAUAACUAUGUCGUUCAUUGUCAGAUUUUAAAAUCAUUUGGCACAUUUGUUCACCAUCAUUGGACGGUGUGUCGCGCGAAAUAAUUACGUCGAUAUCUCCAAGGUCAAGGUCACACUUUGAGUUCAAAGGUCAAAAAUGGCCAUAAAUGAGCUUGUCCGAGCCAUUACUAUGUCGUUCAUCGUCAGAUUUUAAAAUCAUUUGGCACAUUUGUUCACCAUCAUUGGACGGUGUGUCGCGCGAAAAAAUUACGUCGAUAUCUCCAAGGUCAAGGUCACACUUUUAGUUCAAAGGUCAAAAAUGGCCAUAAAUGAGCUUGUCCGAGCCAUAACUAUGUCGUUCAUCGUCAGAUUUUAAAAUCAUUUGGCACAUUUGUUCACCAUCAUUGGACGGUGUGUCGCGCGAAAUAAUUACGUCGAUAUCUCCAAGGUCAAGGUCACACUUUGAGUUCAAAGGUCAAAAAUGGCCAUAAAUGAGCUUGUCCUGGCCAUAACUAUGUCAUUCAUUGUGAGAUUUUAAAAUCAUUUGGCACAUUUGUUCACCAUCAUGGGACGGUGUGUCCCACGAAAGAAUCACGUCAAUAUCUCCAAUGUCAAGGUCGCCACGACUAAAAAUAGAUUUAAAAAAAAAAAAAAACUUACAAAGGGGGUUAAUUUUUUUUGGUCAUUUCAAAA